Small nuclear RNA from Vulpes vulpes (red fox), 133 nucleotides. The record is from Ensembl. Lineage: Eukaryota; Metazoa; Chordata; Mammalia; Carnivora; Canidae.
GUGUGUACAGGAGGAUAGAAGGUCAGUGUUCCCCUUGACAAGGAUGGAAGAGGCCCUCGGACCUGACAGCAUGCACACCAGUAAGGGAUUAAGGAAUUGCCACCUCCUUCGUAGCAUCUAACCAUCUUUUUUU